GAUGAACGCUAGCUACAGGCUUAACACAUGCAAGUCGAGGGGCAGCAUGGUCUUAGCUUGCUAAGGCCGAUGGCGACCGGCGCACGGGUGAGUAACACGUAUCCAACCUGCCGUCUACUCUUGGACAGCCUUCUGAAAGGAAGAUUAAUACAAGAUGGCAUCAUGAGUCCGCAUGUUCACAUGAUUAAAGGUAUUCCGGUAGACGAUGGGGAUGCGUUCCAUUAGAUAGUAGGCGGGGUAACGGCCCACCUAGUCUUCGAUGGAUAGGGGUUCUGAGAGGAAGGUCCCCCACAUUGGAACUGAGACACGGUCCAAACUCCUACGGGAGGCAGCAGUGAGGAAUAUUGGUCAAUGGGCGCAGGCCUGAACCAGCCAAGUAGCGUGAAGGAUGACUGCCCUAUGGGUUGUAAACUUCUUUUAUAAAGGAAUAAAGUCGGGUAUGUAUACCCGUUUGCAUGUACUUUAGGAAUAAGGAUCGGCGAACUCCGG
This 489-nucleotide ribosomal RNA is filed under the name uncultured bacterium. Its description in RNAcentral is "partial 16S ribosomal RNA". It matches the Rfam family "Bacterial small subunit ribosomal RNA", at positions 28 to 506 of the family's 1533-position model. The record is from RNAcentral.